Molecule: ribosomal RNA, 494 nt
Filed under: uncultured bacterium
Lineage: Bacteria
Description: partial 16S ribosomal RNA
Rfam family: Bacterial small subunit ribosomal RNA
Source: RNAcentral
GACGAACGCUGGCGGCGUGCUUAACACAUGCAAGUCGAACGGAAAGGCCUGCUUUCCCCUGUGGAUUGCGGGUACUCGAGUGGCGAACGGGUGAGUAACACGUGAGUGUUCUGCCCCCAACUUGGAUUUAAGCCUGGGAUACUGGGUCUAAUUCCCGGUAGGACUGCAGUGUGGUGCCUGUGGUGGAGCACGAUGUUCUAGUGGUUGCGGAUGAGCUCGCGGCCUAUCAGCUUGUUGGUGGGGUAAUGGCCUACCAAGGCGGCGACGGCUAGCCGGGCUGAGGGGGCGGACGGGCGCAUUGGGGCUGAGAUACCGCCCGGGCACCGACGCAAGGCCGCAGUUGGGAAGGGGAGACGAUGGGGGGAAGACUGAAGCAGGGACGCCGCGUGGGGGAUGCCGGGCUUCGGGUGUUAAGCUCCUUUCGGCGGCGAGGAAGCCACUUAGUUGGAAGGGUAGUGACGGUAGUGGUAGAAGAAGCACCGGCUAACUACGUG